GAGUUUGAUCUUGGCUCAGGAUGAACGCUAGCUACAGGCUUAACACAUGCAAGUCGAGGGGCAGCAUGGUCUUAGCUUGCUAAGGCCGAUGGCGACCGGCGCACGGGUGAGUAACGCGUAUCCAAACCUGCCUUACACUCUUGGACAGCCUUCUGAAAGGGAGAUUAAUACAAGAUGUUAUCAUGAGUAAGCAUUUUCGCAUGAUUAAAGGUUUACCGGUGUAAGAUGGGGAUGCGUUCCAUUAGAUAGUAGGCGGGUAACGGCCCACCUAGUCUUCGAUGGAUAGGGGUUCUGAGAGGAAGGU
RNAcentral lists this ribosomal RNA (304 nucleotides) under uncultured bacterium. RNAcentral describes it as "bacterial SSU rRNA". It matches the Rfam family "Bacterial small subunit ribosomal RNA", at positions 9 to 304 of the family's 1533-position model. The record is from RNAcentral.